UACGGAGGAUGCAAGCGUUAUCCGGAUUUAUUGGGUUUAAAGGGUGCGUAGGCGGAAUAAUAAGUCAGUGGUGAAAUACCCCGGCUCAACCGGGGAACUGCCAUUGAUACUGUUAAUCUAGAGUAUAUUUGAUGUGGGCGGAAUGUAGCAUGUAGCGGUGAAAUGCUUAGAUAUGCUACAGAACACCGAUUGCGAAGGCAGCUCACUAAACUAUAACUGACGCUGAGGCACGAAAGCGUGGGGAGCAAACAGG
This 253-nucleotide ribosomal RNA is filed under the name uncultured bacterium. RNAcentral describes it as "partial 16S ribosomal RNA". It matches the Rfam family "Bacterial small subunit ribosomal RNA", at positions 524 to 776 of the family's 1533-position model. The record is from RNAcentral.